GACGAACGCUGGCGGCGUGCUUAAUACAUGCAAGUCGAGCGAACAGACGCGGCUUUUGUGGGUUUGACGUUAGCGGCGGACGGGAGUGACACAUGAGUAUCAUGCACUUAUAUUUCUGGUAACAUCAGGGGAAUCGGGCGCAAAUACGGUAGAAUAUACUGCUCCGUAGGGGUCAUUAGAGAAUGACGGCUUUGGUGUAUCUACUAGAGGGUUCCGCGCUGCAUUAGCUGGUUGGUAGGCUAACGGCUUACCACGGCAACGAUGCGUAGCCGACCUGAGAGGGUGGUAGGCCACACUGGAACUGAGCCGCGGUCCAGACUCCUACGAGAGGCAGCAGUAGGGAAUCUGCCGCAGUGGGCGAGAGCCUGACGGAGCAGCGCCGCGUGAGUGAUGAAGGUCUUCGGAUCGUAAAACUCUGUUAUUGGGGAAGAACAAAUGUGUAAGUAACUGUGCACGUCUUGACGGUACCUAAUCAGGAAGCCACGGCUAACUACGUG
This 497-nucleotide ribosomal RNA is filed under the name uncultured bacterium. RNAcentral describes it as "partial 16S ribosomal RNA". It matches the Rfam family "Bacterial small subunit ribosomal RNA", at positions 28 to 507 of the family's 1533-position model. The record is from RNAcentral.